GUAGUGGCUCUGCACCCGCUCCUCCAGCAGCCUCAGGUGGGUGUCGGUGCCCGCCUGGGCGUUGCCGUAGACCAUGAAGAGCACGAGCCCCAGGAUGAUCAGGAACUGGAUCAGCGAGGUGAAGAGGAAGAUGUACUUGAGGAUUUAAUAUUUCCUCCUGCCGGGCUCCUUCCUGCCCUGCCGGAUGCUCCCGGGGACCCGCCGGGUUAUCAGGGCGCAGCUUCUGCUGGGAUUGUUGUUCCUGAAGUGCGAAAGCAGAAAAGGAAAAAAAAACCAUUUCAAUCCUUCCAUCCCA
Molecule: non-coding RNA, 295 nt
Organism: Taeniopygia guttata (zebra finch)
Lineage: Eukaryota; Metazoa; Chordata; Aves; Passeriformes; Estrildidae
Source: RefSeq, a predicted model, not a curated record